UGGUUUCAAAAGAUGAAAAAUCUCGAUUACUGAAGGAGGAAAGAAAGCCCUUCUGUUUCUAUGGAACGUUUAGGGGAAGCUGUGGAAGAGACGAGGAGGCAGAAACAUUCUACUGGAAAGUUACAGUUGGUUGGUGGAAUGUGUUCUUCUAA
Molecule: long non-coding RNA, 152 nt
Organism: Fukomys damarensis (Damara mole-rat)
Lineage: Eukaryota; Metazoa; Chordata; Mammalia; Rodentia; Bathyergidae
Exons: 3
Source: RefSeq, a predicted model, not a curated record